GGAGAGGAGGUCACACGCACGGGUUAGGGCUCAGAUACAUCGCAGGUCCCAGAUCGAACUUGCGGUAGCAGCUAGUGAUCGAACUCGGCUUUCGGGUGUUUCCCGUCGUUCCAGCAUCCGUUUUCUCCACCGCCGACAAAGCCAGACGAGCUCGGCUUACCAGCAUCCGGUUGCUCCUCCGCUGACAAAUCCAGCAACCGUAUUUGCCCCAGAUCCCCAGUACGCGUAAAUGUCUACAACGAGUGACUUAUCAAGUGGUCCGCCAUUAUGUAAAUGUGGAGUACCUGCACGACUGAGGUACUCUUGGACCUCGUCCAAUCCCAGCAGGAAGUGGUACGGAUGUAUUAACUAUAAGAAAGCCGGCGAUUGUGAUUAUUUUGUUUGGGCUGAUAAUAAAAUGACCGCAUACGAGGAGGG
Long non-coding RNA from Alnus glutinosa, 417 nucleotides. RefSeq lists it as uncharacterized. The record is from RefSeq and is a predicted model, not a curated record. NCBI's taxonomy places the organism in Eukaryota, Viridiplantae, Streptophyta, Magnoliopsida, Fagales, Betulaceae. The transcript has 3 exons.